GACGAACGCUGGCGGCGUGCUUAACACAUGCAAGUCGAACGAUGAAGCCUAGCUUGCUAGGUGGAUUAGUGGCGAACGGGUGAGUAAUACGUGAGUAACCUACCUUCAACUCUGGGAUAAGCCUGGGAAACUGGGUCUAAUACCGGAUACGACCAAUCUCCGCAUGGGGUGUUGGUGGAAAGCGUUAUGUAGUGGUUAAAGAUGGGCUCCCGUCUUAUCCCCUUGUCGGAGAGGGGACGGCUCACCCACGCGACCACCGCGUUUCUGGCCGAGAAGCUGACCGCGCCCUUUGCGGAGGAAUUCGUUUUAGCCUCCUCGUGACUUUCUUUUUUUACUCCCCCUUUUUCUCGCUUUCUGAGUCCCCCCUCCCUUUCUCCGCCUUCCCCCUUUAUCUUUUUGGGGCCCCCCCCUUUGGAAUACGGGGCGGAUGCUCCCUGAGGGGGGGCGCCCCCCUCCCAAAGACUCCAAUUCGUUGAUCUUUUCCUUAUUUAUA
RNAcentral lists this ribosomal RNA (493 nucleotides) under Anoxybacillus kestanbolensis. RNAcentral's name for it is "partial 16S ribosomal RNA". It matches the Rfam family "Bacterial small subunit ribosomal RNA", at positions 28 to 341 of the family's 1533-position model. Lineage: Bacteria; Bacillati; Bacillota; Bacilli; Caryophanales; Anoxybacillaceae. The record is from RNAcentral.